AAGUCAUCAAACAUGAUCUUAUUUUAAUUCUAAUGAUAUUUUCUUAGUGUGUUUUCCUUUUUUUUUGUUUUUGGCUUAGAGAGCUUUAUGAGAUAUUUUGGAUCUCUGGUCAUAAGCCUUGAGCAUCCAAAAUCAAAGUAUCAUCUCUUGCUCCUAGCUUGUGAUGGUGCAUUUUUCUACAAAAAGAGAUGAUUUUUAGGUACCCAUUUGACCUUGGGUGCCUCAAAAAUCGAUUUGCAUAGCUUAUCAUGUUGCAUUGAGUCAUUUGAGAUUCUUUUAGGAACCCAAAUCAAUUUAUGUGGACUAUAUUUCUUGAAUGGACAUUUGUACGCAACAUGUCCAAAUUUGCAACAAAAGUUACAUUUGGUGUGAGGUGAUACAUGCAAGGUAGGGGGCCUUUAAUAAAGGUGGUUGGAU
RNAcentral lists this long non-coding RNA (417 nucleotides) under Musa acuminata (dwarf banana). RNAcentral's name for it is "long non-coding RNA (MACU_LNC000473)". Lineage: Eukaryota; Viridiplantae; Streptophyta; Magnoliopsida; Zingiberales; Musaceae. The record is from RNAcentral.